UGAAUUACAUUGAUCGUGACAU
RNAcentral lists this microRNA (22 nucleotides) under Drosophila melanogaster (fruit fly). RNAcentral's name for it is "dme-miR-4985-5p". Lineage: Eukaryota; Metazoa; Arthropoda; Insecta; Diptera; Drosophilidae. The record is from miRBase by way of RNAcentral.